AUGUAUUUAUAUGUGAGUAUUGGAUAAAAAGAUAAGAAGAAAAAAAAUAUGGUGUGACAUUUAUUCCUUUUUUAUAUACAACCGAUUAACAUUUUUCCAUUUAGUAGCAUAGGAGUUAACACUUAACAACUAGGUCACUUUUUCUUCCCACUUCCUAAAUGGCAUUUUAAGUCCAUAAUUGUGCUGUGUGAGUUGAACCCAAGCCUCACGAUUUUCUCAUCCUCACGAAAGGUUGGCUGUGAAAGACUUGCCUUCUCUAGUGGCAGUUGCUGCCCAAAUGUUAGUUAUGGACAAUUUUACAUCCUGCUGAAAUUAUUCCAUCUCAU
Molecule: non-coding RNA, 326 nt
Organism: Lupinus albus (white lupine)
Lineage: Eukaryota; Viridiplantae; Streptophyta; Magnoliopsida; Fabales; Fabaceae
Source: the annotation of a GenBank genome assembly